UGCAAGUCGAGGGGCAGCAUGGUCUUAGCUUGCUAAGGCCGAUGGCGACCGGCGCACGGGUGAGUAACACGUAUCCAACCUACCCUUCACAGGGGGAUAACCGGGAGAAAUUCCGACUAAUACCGCAUACGUCCCCUGGGGGCAUCCCCUGGGGAUGAAAGAAUUAUCGGUGGAGGAUGGGCAUGCGUGAUAUUAGGUAGUUGGCGGGGCAACGGCCCACCAAGCCCACGAUAUCUAGGGGUUCUGAGAGGAAGGUCCCCACAUUGGUACUGAGACACGGACCAAACUCC
Molecule: ribosomal RNA, 290 nt
Filed under: uncultured Bacteroidota bacterium
Lineage: Bacteria; Pseudomonadati; Bacteroidota
Description: uncultured Bacteroidetes bacterium partial 16S ribosomal RNA
Rfam family: Bacterial small subunit ribosomal RNA
Source: RNAcentral